Molecule: long non-coding RNA, 1834 nt
Organism: Tetranychus urticae (two-spotted spider mite)
Lineage: Eukaryota; Metazoa; Arthropoda; Arachnida; Trombidiformes; Tetranychidae
Source: RefSeq, a predicted model, not a curated record
ACCCGUAAUAAAGAUGACAGUAUUGAGGCGUUGGAUAUUUUUUGAUAGUAACUAUUGGUAACAAAUGAUAACCAAUCUAGGUGAUCAGCUUACACUUACUCUUUAAUUAAUAAUGUAAUAAUUGUAAUUAUAAUAAUGUCAUAAAGUGUUUGUAUAGCUACAGUGAUAGCAAUGUAAAAGGUUGAGCUGGAAAAAAGUGGUAACUUGAGAAGCAUAAAAAGCAUAAAGUCGUUAUGGAAAAAGGCGAGGGAAAAGGGAGAGAGAGAAGAUCAGAAAGUAAAACCAAAAGAUAAGUCAACAGUUACAAAAAUUUGUUUCAAGUGAAUUUAAUUUGAACAAUGUAUUGUUUUUAUUUAAUUGUGAUCGACUAUUAUUUUAGUCAACCAUCUAAAAGUGGUCAUUAUGUUUAUUAAAAGUUGCUAAUUUAUUAAAAUUAAUCCAUUCCAUAAGAUAAUCAAAAUGAACGUUAUUUACGUCUGGUUUUUACUUACCGGCUCCAUAUUGUUAACCUCUUGUGUAUCUACAGCUGAGAUUGACGAGUCUAUUUAUGAUGAUAAUGAUGUUACAGGUGAAGAUACCGACUAUGUUGCUAGUCAAUCUAAUUAUAAUGAUGUAUAUAGUUUUAUCCUACCAUGGACUAUCAAUGUUACCUGUGACAAUGGACUACCAACUUGGAAUUCCUGUUUAACUGAUGCAAUUGAAAGUUGGUCAUCUGUGAGUGAUGUCGAUAAACGUGAUUGUUGUACCUGUUGGCAUCUAUUAAACUGUUGGUUUAACCAAGUGAAAACUGUUUGCCCUGAUAUUAAUCCAUCUUUGGCUGAACAAUCAAGGAUUAGACUAUCAAACCAAACAAAAUGUGUAAAAUAUUAUGAUAUCUCAGUGUGCAAAGCUAAACCUUUACCCAUUUGGGCCAACAUAUUGAUCCUAGCAACUGGUGCAACCGUAAUUACUGGUGCGGCAGUGUUUGUCUAUUGGAGGUGGAUUAGAUUAAUUUAGCAUCAUCAACACUAUCACCUUCAUCUACUCAACAAAGAAUAUUCCUUUGAACGGAUUCCUUUAAACAACCAUUACCAGGAGGCGGAAGAAAAUUGAAGCUCUACAAACGGAAUCAAGCAAAGGACGAUAAUUUAAGGAUGAAGAUGAUUUCAACAAGAGUUCCCAAAAUAUCCAAUAUAUCCAUUCAAAAGCAUCCAACAUAUCCAAAACUAAAAGUCAAAGGUCCUACUUGAAUGCAUGCCAAACACUAAUUCACACCAUUCCACACUUAGAAACAAAUCAAAUUAUUGAACAAUUAGAUAGGAAUAAAGAUGAAGAAAAUUUCGCUCUAUCUAGUGGGCAAUGAUAGUUAGAUUUGAUCAGUUCAAAUGUCUCGCUAAACUAUUCAAUCAGUAGUAGUUACGGACGGUUAGUAUUGGUACGGAUAUUGAAGUACCAGGUUUAGGUGUGUGGUGUUGAAUAGUGUGGACUCAAGUAGGACAUGUCAUGGAAGAUCCGAAUACCAAAAAAUUUAAACUCUAAUUUGGAUAUUUUGAUUCUUUGGACUGAUCCGAAUCGGAUAUUUUUGGGUACAAUCGAUUUUUAUAUUGGAAAUUUGACUUGUUUUUAUCUUUGUCGAUUAUUGGUUUGAUAUAAAAUCCAACAAACAGAUUCUGUUGAACGCAUAAUAAUCUGAAUAAUUUUGAAAAUAAUUUUAAAUCCAUUUUAUACAAAGAUCACAUGUUUUGUCGUAAUGCUGGAAACAAAUCUUGUAGUCAUUGGACCCAAAUGUCAACAGCCAAUAGUUAUCUAACCAGUUUAUUAAAAUAACCUGUUAAACAUUGGUUUUUGACUCAAA